This 23-nucleotide ribosomal RNA is filed under the name Patellifolia procumbens. RNAcentral's name for it is "partial 18S ribosomal RNA". The record is from RNAcentral. Lineage: Eukaryota; Viridiplantae; Streptophyta; Magnoliopsida; Caryophyllales; Amaranthaceae. RNAcentral also lists the same sequence under 3 other names.
GGGAACCUGCGGAAGGAUCAUUG